Molecule: long non-coding RNA, 138 nt
Organism: Magnolia sinica
Lineage: Eukaryota; Viridiplantae; Streptophyta; Magnoliopsida; Magnoliales; Magnoliaceae
Exons: 3
Source: RefSeq, a predicted model, not a curated record
CACCAUAGGAGCCCUCCAUUGUCCGAGAGAAACCCAAACACUCCACAUCAGCUUUGUAUGUCGAUUUUUAGGAUUUGGGGAUUUUUCAACUUCGGAGCCCAGGAGCUACUGGUGGGGGGACUAGCCAAUCCGCGUCCC